CCUACGGGAGGCAGCAGUGGGGAAUCUUGCGCAAUGGGCGAAAGCCUGACGCAGCAACGCCGCGUGCGGGAAGAAGGCUUUCGGGCUGUAAACCGCUUUCAGCAGGAACGAAAAUGACGGUACCUGCAGAAGAAGGAGCGGCCAACUAUGUGCCAGCAGCCGCGGUGAUACAUAGGCUUCAAGCGUUGUCCGGAUUUAUUGGGCGUAAAGAGUUCGUAGGCGGUCGAGUAAGUCGGGUGUGAAAAUUCUGGGCUCAACCCAGAGACGCCACCCGAUACUGCUUGACUUGAGUUCGAUAGGGGAGUGGGGAAUUCCUAGUGUAGCGGUGAAAUGCGCAGAUAUUAGGAGGAACACCGGUGGCGAAGGCGCCACUCUGGAUCGAUACUGACGCUGAGGACGAAAGCAUGGGUAGCAAACAGGAUUAGAUACCCUGGUAGUCCAUGCCGUAAACGGUGGGCACUAGGUGUGGGUUUCUAUUAACGAAAUCCGCGCCGUCGCUAACGCAUAGUGCCGCCGUCGGUAGGUACGGUCGCGAGACGUAAACUACAACGAAGUAGACGCGUGAGACGUGCCGACGGACGACGACGAGGAGGUAGG
Molecule: ribosomal RNA, 597 nt
Filed under: uncultured bacterium
Lineage: Bacteria
Description: bacterial SSU rRNA
Rfam family: Bacterial small subunit ribosomal RNA
Source: RNAcentral